Non-coding RNA from Hydra vulgaris (swiftwater hydra), 1545 nucleotides. Lineage: Eukaryota; Metazoa; Cnidaria; Hydrozoa; Anthoathecata; Hydridae. The record is from RefSeq and is a predicted model, not a curated record.
CUGUCAAAAAUUAAAUGCAAAUCAUCACUAUACUGAUUUGGUAUCAUCAUUUUGUGUUUUAUCUAUAGAUAUGGUUGAGGAUUUUCCAAUUGACUAUAUUCAUCAGUCUUGUCUUGGUGUAAUGCGAAAAUUGUUGGUGACCUGGAUUAGAGAUACUGACAAAAAAGGAGUAAAAAUGUUUGCAGCUCAUAAGAAUGAUAUUAGUGCUAAAUUGCUUGAAUUAAAAAAAAUGUGUUCCUAAAAAUUUUGUAAGAAAGCCACGUUCUCUUGAUGAAAUUGAUUUUUGGAAAGCAACCGAGUAUAGGCAAUUUUUAUUGUAGACUGGAAAAGUUGUGCUGAAAAGCAUCUUGCAAAAAGACCUAUUUCAACACUUUUUAGUUUUAAGUGUAGCUUUAUAUAUACUAGUCAGUACAAGGUUAGUUAGAAAAUAUGAAACUUAUGCACACCAAUUACUUUUAUAUUUUGUCGAUCAAGCUAAAGAUCUUUAUGGACCUCAGUUUCUUGUAUAUAAUGUCCUCAGUUUAGUACACCUAGUUGCAGUUGCUAAACGAUAUGGCAAUGUAGAUAGGUGCAGUGGUUUUUGUUUUGAAAACUAUCUUCAGGUUUUGAAAAAAAAAGUUAGAUCAGGUAGAGCUCCGCUUAGCCAGGUUGUUAAACGUCUUAGUGAAAUUAAUAUUAUGGUCCUGCCUCAAAAAUUGCAUACUAAAAUAAUUUGCAUGAGUCGCCCCAACAAUUUAUAUAUGCUGGAUGAUGGAAGAUUCUGUGAAGUUCUUUUCAAAGAAGGGGUAAAUCUAAAUUUUGACUUCAGCAAUAUCGUUGCAGAAUAUUUCAAAGAACAAAGUCGUUGUUUGAUGUCCCUUGUGACUCCCGACUUAUUGGAGUUCAUGUUGCAAAAUUUGACUACGCUUUUAUUGAAGUUGUUUUAUCAACGGCCAUAAAAAGCAAGGUUUUAUGAUUCCAAAAGAAAAUAAGAAAAAAAUUAUACUUAUGACUUUGCUACAUGACAUGUAAAACCUAAUAUUUUAAAGAUAUGUUUAGAAAAAAAGUUGUAAUCAUCUGACUGAAUCAAUUUGCUUAUGUUUUAAUGUUUAUUUUUUAAUCAUUUAGUUCACUAUUAAGUUUAAUUAAUAUUAAGAUGCAAAAAUUUAUUUUUAUUGUUUAGAAACUGAGUAGCGGUCCCUUUGUUGUUGUUGAGUUUGUUGAUGAGCAAUCAGUGGAGGUAAUGCCAAAAAGUUGGAUUGUUUGCGAGAAUGAGCAACUGCUUGAUCAUUGGCCCAGAAAGGAUCUAGUGUGCAGAGUCAAAAAGAGUGAAUUACCUGAUCCGAAAUGGCCACUAUUCAAAAUUAGAACUUUUGGGGCUGCAGUGGAAAGCAUCAGAUUUAGCUAAGAGUGCAUUAGUAAUGUCAAAUGUGGAAGAUUCUGAUAUAAACAAAGAGACUUCUUCUGAUAUUGAAGAUGUAACCUCUUCUUGGUGAUCACAAUUCUCCGAGGAAAAAAAUCAAACUUAUAUCUGCACAAAGAUACAAUUCAAAACAAUGGCAAGAG